AUUGAACGCUGGCGGCAGGCCUAACACAUGCAAGUCGAGCGAGCGGCGGACGGGUGAGUAUUGUAUGGGGAUCUGCCCGAUAGAGGGGGAUAACUACUGGAAACGGUAGCUAAUACCGCAUACUAUCGGAUGAAUCCAUAUGGGAUUAGCUAGUUGGUGAGGGAAUGGCUCACCUAGGCGACGAUCCCUAGCUGGUCUGAGAGGAUGAGCAGCCACACUGGGACUGAGACACGGUCCAGACUCCUACGGGAGGCAGCAGGGGGGAAUAUUGCACAAUGGGCGCAAGCCUGAUGCAGCCAUGCCGCGUGUGUGAAGAAGGCCUUCGGGUUGUAAAGCACUUUCAGCGAGGAGGCGUUACUCGCAGAAGAAGCACCGGCUAACUCCGUGCCAGCCGCCGCGGUAAUUC
Molecule: ribosomal RNA, 406 nt
Filed under: uncultured bacterium
Lineage: Bacteria
Description: partial 16S ribosomal RNA
Rfam family: Bacterial small subunit ribosomal RNA
Source: RNAcentral